RNAcentral lists this long non-coding RNA (955 nucleotides) under Ananas comosus (pineapple). Its description in RNAcentral is "long non-coding RNA (ACOM_LNC001590)". The record is from RNAcentral. Lineage: Eukaryota; Viridiplantae; Streptophyta; Magnoliopsida; Poales; Bromeliaceae.
ACUAAUAUUUUGUUUUAUUUUUGCUUUUACCCUUUCAGCUAUUUUUUCUUUAUUUUCAUAUUUUUUUCAUGCCAUUUCUUAUUUUAGUUUUCAUCUCCGAAGAGAGAAAGAGAGAACAGUAGCAUGUUAUCUAUUUUUUAAAAUAAAUUUACCUAAAAAUAUGAAACAACUAGACUUAAAUUUAAAAUCUUGGGUGCCAAUAAUCAAACCUUUAGUCACUAAUAUUCGAAAUGUUUAGUAAAAAAUAUAAAAUAAAAAAUAAGCAAAACGAAUAGCAUGUUAUCUUUCUUUAUAAAUUUUAAAAAAGAAUCACCAGCAAUAUAAAGAUUUAGUUAAAAAAAAAAAAAACGAAACGAAUGGUAUACUAUCUUUUUCUAUAAUUUUUUUUAAAACAAGCUCAACUUUCUGAUCACAAACUACAGCUUAAAAUUAGUUUUGAUUGGUACUCUGCUCAUUUGCUGCUAGAGAAGUCAGUGGGUUGGAUACGGAAACGGAUAUUCAAAAACUGUUAGUUCGAACCCUACUAUGAAACCGUCGAAAUUUGGAAAUCUAUAACAAACUCCAAUCCCAACAAAAAAAAUUCAAAAUCCGGACGCAAAAACAAUCAUUUAUCUUCACCGUAUGACAAAGGGCUUGGUGGUUGGUAUCCAAGAUCCCAAGUUCAAAUCCUAAUUGAUUCACAUUUCCAACUAAAUUUAUUUCUAAAUGAAAUAAACGAAACGGAUAGCGUGAUAUCUAUUUCUUAAAAAAACAAAAAAAUUUAAAAAUAUCCACAGUAAAAAACCACUAUAAAAAAAAACUAUAACAAAUAAUAUUUUUAUAAAUAUAUUAUAUUAUUAUAAAAUUGGUUUGAGUUUCAGAUCCGAACCUAAAUCCGUCAAAUUUUAAUUUUUAAUUAUACUCAUAACUAAAAUUAUACUAAUUUAGCAUCAGGUAAAUCUGUUUCAUUCCAAUC